This 245-nucleotide unclassified non-coding RNA is filed under the name fungal sp. Its description in RNAcentral is "partial internal transcribed spacer region". The stretch from base 1 to 46 matches the Rfam family "Eukaryotic small subunit ribosomal RNA", at positions 1786 to 1831 of the family's 1831-position model. The record is from RNAcentral. Lineage: Eukaryota; Fungi.
AAGUCGUAACAAGGUUUCCGUAGGUGAACCUGCGGAAGGAUCAUUAACGAAUGUUGAACCGGGUUGUUGCUGGCCCUCAGGGGCAUGUGCACACCCUUCAAUUUCAUCCAUCCCUGUGCACUCACUGUAGACUGCCACCAAGUGGUGUCUAUGUCUUUUCACACACACUACUUAGAUCAUGAAUGUGGACCAGAUCUUUAAGAUCUAUAUCUAUACAACUUUUAGCAAUGGAUCUCUUGGCUCUC